RNAcentral lists this ribosomal RNA (109 nucleotides) under Saimiri boliviensis boliviensis (Bolivian squirrel monkey). The record is from RNAcentral. Lineage: Eukaryota; Metazoa; Chordata; Mammalia; Primates; Cebidae.
GUCUACUGCCAUACCACUUUGAAUGUGCCUGAUGUUGGAAGCUAAGCAAGGUCAGGCCUGGUUAGACUUGGUAUGGGAGACCACUUGGGUAUAACAGGUGCUGUAGAGU